This 997-nucleotide ribosomal RNA is filed under the name uncultured bacterium. RNAcentral describes it as "bacterial SSU rRNA". It matches the Rfam family "Bacterial small subunit ribosomal RNA", at positions 8 to 1002 of the family's 1533-position model. The record is from RNAcentral.
AGAGUUUGAUCCUGGCUCAGGAUGAACGCUAGCGGCGGGCUUAACACAUGCAAGUCGAGGGGCAGCAUGUCCAGCAAUGGAUGAUGGCGACCGGCGGAAGGGUGCGUAACGCGUGAGCAACAUGCCCUAUACAGGGAGAUACACCAGGGAAACUUGGUCUAAUAUCCCAUAGCAUUCAUUGAAGGCAUCUUUAAUGAAUUAAAGCUUCGGUGGUAUAGGAUUGGCUCGCGUGACAUUAGCCAGAUGGUGAGGUAACGGCUCACCAUAGCAAUGAUGUCUAGGGGUUUUGAGAGGAAGGCCCCCCACACUGGGACUGAGACACGGCCCAGACUCCUACGGGAGGCAGCAGUGAGGAAUAUUGGACAAUGGAUGGAAAUCUGAUCCAGCCAUGCCGCGUGCAGGAAGACGGCCUUAUGGGUUGUAAACUGCUUUUAUACGGGAGCAAUAAGGGUUACGAGUAAUCCGAUGAGAGUACUGUACGAAUAAGGAUCGGCUAACUCCGUGCCAGCAGCCGCGGUAAUACGGAGGAUCCGAGCGUUAUCCGGAAUUAUUGGGUUUAAAGGGUGCGUAGGCGGCCAUUUAAGUCAGCGGUGAAAUUUUGCAGCUUAACUGUAACAGUGCCGUUGAUACUGUUUGGCUAGGAUUUGGUUGUAGUGUGCGGAAUGUGUGGUGUAGCGGUGAAAUGCUUAGAUAUCACACAGAACACCGAUUGCGAAGGCAGCACACUAAGUCAUUAUUGACGCUGAGGCACGAAAGUGUGGGGAUCAAACAGGAUUAGAUACCCUGGUAGUCACACUGUAAACGAUGAUAACUCGCUGUCGGCGAUACACAGUCGGUGGGCAAGCGAAAGCAUAGUUUAUCCACCUGGGGAGUACCACCGCAAAGGUGAAACUCAAAGGGAAAUGACGGGGGCCCGCCCAACCGGAGGAACAUGUUGUUUAAUUUCAUGAUACCCGAAGGAACUUACCCGGGGCUCCAACGGGGGUUGAAUAUUCCA